Molecule: non-coding RNA, 2629 nt
Organism: Paramuricea clavata
Lineage: Eukaryota; Metazoa; Cnidaria; Anthozoa; Malacalcyonacea; Plexauridae
Source: the annotation of a GenBank genome assembly
GUUGCCGCUCAAGAUAUCUAUGGAGAUCAGUGUAAAUUCCAUGUAUUUCUUUCUUUUCCAGGUCCGCAACAAGACGCCCAAGCCGCAAGGGAAUUCAUUCUAAGGAUGUUCGUAGAUUUGAACCCAGAUACAGACAAAAUUAUUUACUCUCAUUUCACUUGUGCCACGGACACCGAGAACAUUCGCUUCGUCUUCGCCGCUGUCAAGGACACCAUUUUACAGUUAAACUUGAAAGAAUACAAUUUGGUUUGAAAAGUUAGCACGGUCUGUGAACUACCACAGUCAUAUUUCUCUCAGUUGGUUCGUUGAAGCUAGCUUUCCUGCUGUAAGAAAUUCCAUAAAACUUGAAAUCUACACUGACAUUGUAAACCGCGCAGAACACUACUCCUAUAAAAGAUUAAAUAAAGCCCGGAUGACUGACUGCAAAGGAACUUGAACCCCAUCGGGGAUUUUAUUUCCGGGAGAUUUUAUCCCUUACCCGUGGCUUUGUCCUCGGAUAUCUUGCCCAUGCAGAGUUAGGCUAUAGAGAUCAUAAAUGACUUAAGGUGGCAUGAUGAGAUUUUGUACUCGUUUGAAGACGCGAUUGUAGCAAGUUUAGUCACUUUUACGUGGGUGUUUAGACAGUGCAAGAAUGACACCACAUAUUUGUAUCAAUUUGUGCAGGGAUUUAUACGAUCUCUUUUUUUCAUCAAUGUGAAUGCAUAGGCAUAUAGCUAUUACAAAAUCGUCAUUCAGAAAACAAGCACGAAAUCUUCGUAGUUUCACAUUGUCAUCAUUGGAAUAUGCGUUCAUUGAAAUAUUUUCCAGACACCAAAAACGACAUGUGGAGACCAGGGCUACCAAUGCAACGAAUACCAUCGUUUAGUAAUAGAGUAGUUAAGUUCUUUUUAAGGGUUUUUAGACGUCGUGCAAGCUGUGUUGACAGCGUAAAAACUGUCUAUCAUAUCAAACCUUGACAAGUAGAUUCCCAAACUACAAAUUUAUCAACAGAAAUUUGAAUUAUUCGACUUUGCAAUAAAAGCAUACAAUUCGUAUAGAAUUUGUGAAAUUUCGAUUGUUUACAAAAUAGAUAGUUCCCUCGUAAUUAACGAAACCAUUUUGCUCCGGUUAAAUAUAAUUUUCACGAGGAAAACGUAUAUAAUAGUGAAAGUAUAAUGAGAGUCGCAGAUUACGUUUAGUUUAUUUUGAAUUUAUAGAGAAAUUAUAAAACCUGAUUCCAUUUGGUCGUACAACUCUGGCGACCAAGUCGACGAUGUGAAAUAGUCCGCAUCUGUCUCGUCUUAGAACUCUAUUACGUCCGUCAACUUGAUAGGCUCACGAGAGUUCUAAAUUGAAACCGAGUAGUAUAGAAUACUUCUUAGUCCAAGUAAAGUCGAAUCACUUGCUAAAAAAUUAUUUUCUCGAUCAAAUCUAUGUUCACAGGCAUAAUUUUCGACAAGUGACGUGACUUCAUUUGGGCACCGCAAAGUUACAAAGAGCGUCAUAAAAAUGACACGCGAACAUGUUACUUUUUGGUCAAAAUGAAUGCCUUCGAUUUAAAACCAUUAGUUCUUAGACUUGUUACUCUGGUUUACAUAUAUGAUCACAAUACGCCUUAGUAGUUUAAUUUAUGAUCUCUAUGGUUCAAAGUCUGUAUUAAAAUGUUAGGGAUAUUAUAUCGAGGUCGUUUUAGAGCCCUCUGUGGACUGGGCCCAACUCACCGACGCUCGUCGGUGAUUGGUCGAACCAUUGUAUCUAUAGCAACAACGCGAUCUGUGGUUUAUGCUAAAUAAUAUCUUAACUUAUAUAAGUGUAAUAGUGUAUAAUAAUAAUAAUUGUCAUUCUAGAUCUGUAGAAGUCGGCUUAUAGUUUGUUUCUUGAUUGCGCGAUAAAAGUGCACGCGAUAUAUAAAUAUAUAUAAAUAUUGACUCUUGUAGAUGUAGUUAGGUAGGUUUUAAAACUACUCCAAGCCGCCUUAAUAUGACAAUGUCAAGAUUGUGAGUGGAAGAAUAAAUAUACAAAGAGACUAAAGUUGGAAGAGGUUUGAAGACUGGCGCUGGACUAUUUUGGGGAACACGUGAAAAUUCCCAUGUCUCAUCAAAUGUUCCCCAGUUUGCCCAUGGAGGGAAAAAACUAAUUUCUUUCUGCGACCACUGUGACAGAACAAAAACAAUUCUGCCAAUAUUCCCACAUUCCCAACUAUAAGUACAUCCUGGGCGCCGGACGAGCUGGAACACCGUUGCUAUAGCGUGGAAAACCCCUUGCACCCUCGUUGAUCCAAUAUCGAUUCAGUGCAAAUGAGCAGAAAAUUGAGAUGGAUAGGAAUUUCAACUAUCUGAUCUGGCGUUUUUGGUACAACCUACACUGGCACAGAUUGGUUCGCGAGUUUAUAUCUGUGUAAAUGACCUUAUUUAUUUACUAUAAAUUGUUUAACUCGUAUCAUUAAACUUGACCACCUUUGCUCUCCAAGCAUUUCUCACUCCUUGCUGGGGCUAACUGCCGCGCUACUCAACAGCAACAUCGUUGAUAUAAGAUCGUUUGCAUAAAUGCAUUUUCCCCUUUGUCGCCAUUUUGAACAAAAUCACGUGAAGAGACUAUGGGUUCUCAUUGGCUAUUUAAUUCAAGCAGCUAAGCUCGCAACAUCCGCAGA